Long non-coding RNA from Manis pentadactyla (Chinese pangolin), 3312 nucleotides. RefSeq lists it as uncharacterized. The transcript is spliced from 5 exons. NCBI's taxonomy places the organism in Eukaryota, Metazoa, Chordata, Mammalia, Pholidota, Manidae. The record is from RefSeq and is a predicted model, not a curated record.
GGCGGGGCCUCGCGCUACGGAGGCUGUAGACGCGGCGGAUCCGGCGGCAGCGGAGGCGGGAGAGCGGCGGGAGGCACCGGGGAGACAGGCCCGCAGUGCCGAGCGGCCGCCCGAGCCGCGGCUGGAGAAUCUUAGCCUUAAGAUAAGUCUCUCGAGAGGGGCGGAAGAUGGCGGCGUGAGUAGAGCAGCGGAAAUCUCCUCCCAAAACAACAUAUAUCUAUGAAAAUAUAACAAAGACAACCCUUCCUAGAAUAAAGACCAGAGGACACAGGACAAUAUCCAGACCACAUCCGCACCUGAGAGAACCCAGCGCCUCGCGAAGGGGGUUUUAAUAAGUGCCUCAAGAAACAGGCAGGGAACAGUCAGACCUGAUGGGGACGGCGGUGAACCCACACACAGGUCCCACAGAAAUGCGGCGACCACUGCUCACCUCAACACAAGCGCUGCCAUGCCAGCAUAGAGACCAGACCUCUAGAUUUCUUAGAUACCAUACAGAAGGCUUAUGAACCUUUGCAUAUGUUUUCAAGAAUGUAGAGUUGGAUCAGAUCACACCAUCUUCAGAAAACUUCGUGGUGACAUACUGCUUACCACAGUUACGGGCUCUAGAAGCUGUGCAGAAAGAAGUGUGGGCCUCUAUCCGAGAAGUCUAUCGGCCAGAGGACAUCUCAGUACCUCAUCAAUUCCAAGUGAGAGACUCUGUCUACGUGAGACGACACCGAACGGGAAAUCUUGAGCCCCGGUGGAAAGGACCCUUCAUCGUCCUUUUGACUACUCCCACAGCUGUAAAAGUAGAUGGCAUCUCCUCCUGGGUCCACGCUUCACAUCUGAAGAGAGUGCCUCAACCAGGCCCGGAUUGGCGAGUAAUUCGAACUGAUAACCCUCUUAAACUUCGCUUAUGUAAGAAUGAUUGUGUCACUGAUGAUUCUGAUGGCCCAGUUACUCCCCACUCUUUAGGACCCCAAACCCCACGAACCUAGAUUACUGACAUGGCAGGUCUGUUCCCAAACAGGGGAGACAGUAUAGUCCAUUUCUAAGGUUGCUCCUCUUAAAACCUGGUGGCCAUCCCUGCACCCUGAUGUUUGCGCCUUAGUCACUGGAAUAAGAGGCUGAGAUAUACCCGAGCUUAGCUGGAUGCAGGCAAACAGGGUCAGGCCCGCGACUUUGGCGUAUUACGUCGGAGGAAAACAAGCCCAGAGCCAGAGUGGCUUAUAGAGCUUUGGGUGCAGAAAUCCGGCCGCACGCCAGCAGAUAAAGACCACUACUUUCUAUGUCUGCCCCCGUGAUGGACGGACCUACCAACAAACCCAACAAUGUAGGGACUUGCAAUCUUUUUAUUGUAACUCUUAGAGUUGUGAUACUACGGGUAACGUUUAUUAGAAUCCUGUGUCUGACUGGGACCUCCUUAAAGUAGCCCAGAACCGCACAUUCCCCAACUGUGAAUAGACAAGACUAUGCAUCCCCUUAAAUAUCACGUUCAGUGAUAAGAGACGCCAGUAUGAUGGGUGGAUCACUGGACGACAGUGAAGACUUAGAUAUUAUAAAUCUAGAUAUGACAAGGGCCUCGUAUUUACUGUCAGACUCAAAGCUGAGACUCUUCCAGCUGCCCCGAUAGGACCUAAUUCUGUCCUAAGAAAUCAACCGCGUCUCCCAACCUCGAUCCUGAAGCAGACUCCGGUGCCUCCAGUAGACCCUACCACUAUUUCUGCUGCCCUCACCCCUGACCAAAUAGCCCCCUUUCCUGAUACUGGACAACGCCUCUUCAAUCUUCUUGAGGGGGCUUUCCAAGUUCUAAACACUACCAACCCUAAUACUACUAAGUCCUGUUGGUUGUGUUUCUCCUCUGGACCUCCUUACUAUGAAAGAUUGGGGCUGUUAGGCAAUUUUAACAGAACAACCAGCCACGAGAUCUGUAGCUGGGGAAGCCAUAAGAAGCUGACCCUGACCGAAGUGACUAGAAAAGAGAAAUGUUUAGGUUCAGUUCCCCCCACUCAUGAAGCUUUGUGUAAUGAAACCAUAUCCGUAAAUUCCUCAAGUAAAAAUGAGUAUCUAGUCCCUCCUCCCGAAGAGUAGUAGGCCUGUAAUACUGGAUUGACCCCAUGUGUCUCUACUUCCGCCUUCAAUUCUUCCCGCGACUUCUGUAUCAUGGUUCAAUUAGUACCUAGAUUGAUGUAUCAUGAUGAUUUCUCAUUCGUAGCUGAAUUUGAACCAAAACACAGGUAUAGAAGGGAGCCAAUCUCGCUGACCUUAGCUGUAUUAUUAAGAAUAAGAGUCGCAGCUAGAGUAAGAACAGGGACAGCCGCCAUUAUCCAAGAGAACCAACAUUAUGCGGGAUUGAAGACAGCAAUUGAUGAAGACCUAAAGACUAUAGAACAAUCCAUUACCAAACUUGAAGAAUCUCUAACCUCCCUGUCUGAAGUAGUCUUGCAGAACAGACGAGGAUUAGAUCUGUUGUUUUUAAAAGAAGAUUGUGUGCAGCCUUUAAAGAAGAAUGCUGCUUUUACGCAGACCAUUCUGGAAUAGUAAAAGAUUCAAUGUCAAAACUUAGAGAAAAGUUAGACCAAAGGAAGAGAGAACGGGAGGCCGGCCAAGGGCUAUUUGAGUCCUGGUUUACUAGAUCUCCGUGGCUUACAACCUUGAUAUCCACCUUGACUGGGCCUUUACUUAUUCUUAUACUACUCCUCACUUUAGGACCCUGUAUACUAAAUCGGCUGAUAACUUUUGUUAGAAAAAGAGUGAGUACCGUUCAAGUGCUAAUGUUGAGGCAACAAUAUCAUUCACUCGCACAACAAGAGGACACAAGCAUUCCAUGAUUGGAAUGCUCCUUAAAAAGAAGUGGGAAAUGUAGAAUCCUUCACUAAGAAUUAACCUUAUUGAAGAUAGAAAGUUAGCAUAAGUAUAGCCAUCUUAAAAGCUUAGACUCCAUUUUCUAACCUAGAAGGAAGAAAAUAGGAAAAUAUUAGAACCUGGAAAAACAAGUUAGUCAGCCAGCGUUGAUUGCAGUGACCUUUAGUUAGCCAACCUCAAUCAGUUAAUCAUACAUACCAAGCUUACCUUACUAAGAACCACCCUAACAUUCCGAGGGUGAUCUUAUCUCACCAGACCCCCAGGAUGUGGCAUCAGCCAAAAUGUAUGUGUUUUUUUGGAAAAACAAUGUGAUGUGCUUGUAGAAUAAUACUGCCCUUUUUGAAAAUGCUAUAAAAACCUCUGACUCUAAGUGCUCGGGGUCCUUGUUGAGACCCGCUGCGUUGGGCUGACACUUGGACCCCAGCUAGCUGGUCUCUGAAUAAAUUCCUCUUGCUUGUUGCAUCAAGA